The sequence is a transfer RNA, 76 nucleotides long. It matches the Rfam family "tRNA". Rfam says of the family: Transfer RNA (tRNA) molecules are approximately 80 nucleotides in length. The record is from Rfam.
GGUCUUGUGGUGUAAUGGUUAAACACUGCAUUUGGGCAAUCUAUUUGUAUUCCGAGUUCGAAUCUCGGCAAGACCG